CGCUGGCGGCACGCCUAAUACAUGCAAGUCGAACGAAGUAGCAAUACUUAGUGGCAGACGGGUGAGUAACAUGUGGGUAUCUUCCCUUUGGCCUGGAAUAACAUGAGGAAACUUAUGCUAAUACCGGAUAAGUCUUUACGGAGAAAGCUUUAUGCACCAUUGGAUGAGCCUGCACUUGAUUAGUUUGUUGGUGGGGUAAUGGCCUACCAAGACAAUGAUCAAUAGCUGAUUUGAGAGGAUGAUCAGCCACAUUGGGACUGAGACACGGCCCAAACUCCUACGGGAGGCAGCAGUAGGGAAUCUUGCACAAUGGAGGAAACUCUGAUGCAGCGAUGCCGCGUGAGUGAAGAAGGCCCUUGGGUUGUAAAGCUCUUUCGUCGGGGAAGAAAAUGACUGUACCCGAAUAAGAAGGUCCGGCUAACUUCGUGCCAGCAGCCGCGGUAAUACGAAGGGACCUAGCGUAGUUCGGAAUUACUGGGCUUAAAGAGUUCGUAGGUGGUUAAAAAAGUUGGUGGUGAAAUCCCAGAGCUUAACUCUGGAACUGCCAUCAAAACUUUUUAGCUAGAGUAUGAUAGAGGAAAGCAGAAUUUCUAGUGUAGAGGUGAAAUUCGUAGAUAUUAGAAAGAAUACCAAUUGCGAAGGCAGCUUUCUGGAUCAUUACUGACACUGAGGAACGAAAGCAUGGGUAGCGAAGAGGAUUAGAUACCCUCGUAGUCCAUGCCGUAAACGAUGUGUGUUAGACGUUGGAAAUUUAUUUUCAGUGUCGCAGUGAAAGCAAUAAACACACCGCCUGGGGAGUACGACCGCA
This 808-nucleotide ribosomal RNA is filed under the name uncultured Pelagibacteraceae bacterium. RNAcentral describes it as "bacterial SSU rRNA". It matches the Rfam family "Bacterial small subunit ribosomal RNA", at positions 34 to 890 of the family's 1533-position model. The record is from RNAcentral. Lineage: Bacteria; Pseudomonadati; Pseudomonadota; Alphaproteobacteria; Candidatus Pelagibacterales; Candidatus Pelagibacteraceae.